CCUACGGGAGGCAGCAGUGAGGAAUAUUGGUCAAUGGGCGCGAGCCUGAACCAGCCAAGUCGCGUGAAGGAUGACUGCCCUACGGGUUGUAAACUUCUUUUAUAAAGGAAUAAAGUGAGGCACGUGUGCCUUUUUGUAUGUACUUUAUGAUUAAGGAUCGCCUAACUCCGUGCCAGCAGCCGCGGUAAUACGGAGGAUCCGAGCGUUAUCCGGAUUUAUUGGGUUUAAAGGGAGCGUAGAUGGGUUGUUAAGUCAGUGGUGAAAGUUUGCGGAUAACGCGUAAAAUUGCAAUUGAUACUGGCAGCCUUGAGUACAGUUGAGGUAGGCGGAAUUCGUGGUGUAGCGGUGAAAUGCUUAGAUAUCACGAAGAACUCCGAUUGCGAAGGCAGCUUACUAAACUGCCACUGACAUUGAUGCUCGAAAGUGUGGGUAUCAAACAGGAUUAGAUACCCGGGUAGUC
This 460-nucleotide ribosomal RNA is filed under the name uncultured bacterium. RNAcentral's name for it is "partial 16S ribosomal RNA". It matches the Rfam family "Bacterial small subunit ribosomal RNA", at positions 338 to 795 of the family's 1533-position model. The record is from RNAcentral.